UCAACACCGAUUGUAAACAAAGAUGUACAAAUUUUUGGGGUUAAACCCCCCACCAGCUAAAAAAACUAAAACCUUAGAGGGACGGCGAGAUGUGCAAAAAGCAUACGACGCGGAAAAAAGGAAGCGUACUUUUCAAUCUUCUUGGAAGUCGCAGUAUCCUUGGCUUAUCUACAAUGUUGACAAUGAGACGGGUAACGGUUGCAUGACUUGCAAUAUUUGUAUUGCAUAUGAGAAAACUGGCACCUUUGUGACAGGUUGUACCAACUUUAGAUUGGAAACAAUUAGAAUUCAUCAAAAUUCAGAGGGCCAUAUCAUGAACACAAAGAAGUGUAAGGCGAAAUCUAUGGAAAAAUUAGACAACAACACACAAACACAAUCAGAAGCAAAGAGAGCAGUGCUCAUGAUGAACAGGGCAGCGUUCACCAAAAUGACAUUCUUAUUUCGGAAUGCACAUUACAUUGCAAGAAAUAAUCGUCCUUACAGUGACUUUGUUCAAUUAUGUUUGCUGGACAAAGCAAAAAGCAUAGAUAUAGGUGAUACCUAUAUUACUGACAAAUCAUGUCAACAAUUUGUUAGUAGUGUUGCCAUGGCUAGACAACAAGAGCAGGAAUGAUAUUGUGAAAGAAGGCAGUUUUUUAUCCAUCAUAUCUGAUGGAUCCACUGAUGUUUCGUCAAAGGAAGCGGAAAUUUUAUAUGUUAGAACCUCUGUAAGGUGUCAGGUGUCAACACUAUUUAUUGGUGUUAAGAAUGUUCCUAAAGCUGACGGUGAACAUAUAAGUACAGCAAUAAGUAACCUAAUGACAGAGAGGUUUCAAGAGACUUGGAAGGAAAAACUUGUAGCCAUGGGUACAGACGGGGCAUCUGUCAUGUUAGGGAAAACAAGUGGAGUUGUGAAAAGAAUAAAAGAUAUGACUAGUAGACCAGUUUAUGCCAUUCACUGCUCUGCACACAGUAUUGAACUCGCAUAUAAAGAUGCCAUAAAGGGAACAAAGAUCUGGCAGAGAUGUGAUGCCCUGAUGCUUAACAUCUUCUUGUUUUACAAGUAUAGUCCACUGAAUAGGGCUAAUUUGAAGGCUAGCUUUGAAAGUCUUAAUAUGAAGAUGUUGUUACCGACAAGGGUGGGAGGAACACGCUGGGUUCCCUAUCAUGAACGAGCUUUGAAGAAUGUAUUGCAUGGCCAUGCUGCAAUUGUUCGUCAUCUUGAACAGAUGCAAGCACCUGGAGAGGCACGCAAGGAUUCUAGCGCCAAAGCAAGAAAUUUUCAUUAAGCCUUAAAAGAUAAACAUACUCUUUUUUGGCUUCAUUUUAUGUUUGAUGUUGUUCAAAGCUUGAGCACUGUGUCAAGGACAGUACAAAGUAAAGACAGCAAUCUUGGGGAUGUUUAUAAUGAGUUAGAAGCAUGCAAAUCCAUUAUGGGAAAGUACAUAAACAGAGUUUGGUGACUCACAUAUAGUGGAAGUUAGCAGGCCUUGCUUUGGAGCUUUGUUCAGUCACAGUAGACCCUGAUGCAAUUGAGUCUGAAUGGACCCGAUUUAAAACCGAAUUGUAUAAUACCAUGAAU
Long non-coding RNA from Mytilus californianus (California mussel), 1561 nucleotides. RefSeq lists it as uncharacterized. Lineage: Eukaryota; Metazoa; Mollusca; Bivalvia; Mytilida; Mytilidae. The record is from RefSeq and is a predicted model, not a curated record. The transcript has 6 exons.